AAGGGGAAGCAGGUGCAUCUUACAUGGUGGCAGGCGAGAGAGAGCAUGAGAGUGCAGUAAAAACUACCAUUUAUAAAACCAUCAGAUCUCAUGAGAACUUAUUUACUAUCAUGAGAACAUCAUGAAAGGAACUGCCCCCAUAAUCUACACUUCCCACCAGGUCUAUACAACACCUGGGGAUUACAAUUCAAGAUGAGAUUUGGGUGGGGACACAAAGCCAAACCAUAUCACCAUCCAUGUUGUUAUAAAUGACAGGACCUCAUUUUUUUGUAGCUGAAUAAUAUUCCAUUGUGUAUAUGUGUCACAUUUUAUCCAUUUAGCCAUUCUUUUUUCUCUUUUUGUGUGAGACAGGGUCUCAUAUUCUGUCACCCAGGCUGGAAUGCAGUGGCAUGAACACGGCUCACUGCAGCCUUGACCUUCUGAACUCAAGCAGCCCUCCCAUCUCAGUCUCCAGAGUAACUGGGACUACAAGUGCAUAACACCACAGCUGGCUAAAUUUUUUAAUUUUUUGUGAAGAUGGGGUCCUUCCAUGUUGCCCAGGCUGGUCUCGGACUCCUGGGCUCAAGCCACGCUCCGCUUUGGCCUCCCAAAGUGUUGGGAUUAUAGAUGUGAGCCACUUCACUCAGCCAACCGUUACUGAAAAUCUUGCACAUGCUGAAAGGGCCAACAUUUCUUGUGUCUUUAGAUCAUUGCACCUCGAGAUGUAAUGCCUGUCCCUAGAUCAUAGCAUUCAAUCUGGCCUCCUAGAUGUGUCAUUAUGUGGGAAUCCACUUCCUGAAACAACUUUUGGUAUUGUUGCA
This 800-nucleotide long non-coding RNA is filed under the name Pan troglodytes (chimpanzee). RNAcentral describes it as "long non-coding RNA NONPTRT002096". Lineage: Eukaryota; Metazoa; Chordata; Mammalia; Primates; Hominidae. The record is from RNAcentral.